Small nuclear RNA from Erinaceus europaeus (western European hedgehog), 117 nucleotides. Its record names the gene U2. It matches the Rfam family "U2 spliceosomal RNA". Rfam says of the family: U2 is a small nuclear RNA (snRNA) component of the spliceosome (involved in pre-mRNA splicing). Complementary binding between U2 snRNA (in an area lying towards the 5' end but 3' to hairpin I) and the branchpoint sequence (BPS) of the intron results the bulging out of an unpaired adenosine, on the BPS, which initiates a nucleophilic attack at the intronic 5' splice site, thus starting the first of two transesterification reactions that mediate splicing. NCBI's taxonomy places the organism in Eukaryota, Metazoa, Chordata, Mammalia, Eulipotyphla, Erinaceidae. The record is from Ensembl.
AUCGCUUCUUGGCCGUUUGGCUAAGAUCAAGUGUAGUAUCUGUUCUUAUCAGUUUAAUAAAUAACUAAAUCAGCAUUUAUCCGUGAGACCAACAGUCCUCAGGUAUAGAGAUGCUUU